Mus musculus (house mouse) is the source of this 473-nucleotide long non-coding RNA. RefSeq annotates it as predicted gene, 30142. Lineage: Eukaryota; Metazoa; Chordata; Mammalia; Rodentia; Muridae. The record is from RefSeq and is a predicted model, not a curated record. The transcript has 3 exons.
UAUGCAGCAAGCACACACUCAGCACCUACCCCUCAGGCUCUACGCUGGACACAAGUGUGGCUACAUCCAGUUAUCAUCACCAUUUUACAGGAGAGGAAAGUGAGGCUCACAUUAGUCAGCUUGCCCAAGAUCCAUCACAGAGUCAGCAAUGAGGAUUCAAAGCAGGUUGUCAGGUCUCAGAGCUUGCCUGUCUAAUGUCGGAUGUGUUGUGUGAAGCUUGUGCCUCCUGGAUGGGUCUAAAGCCCCUUGCAAUGCCCAGCACGCACUGGUGCUGUUGGAAAGUCAAGAGAAACCUGCUCAGAGGCAGCAUGAGUCCUAUCUCUUCAGGAGGCCCCGGGUGAUGGUCACAGCCCAGCUUCAGAGCCCGCAGCGCGGACUUGAAUUGCAAUGCUCUCAUUUAUCCUCCACAGGACGCUUGUCUCCUCUGCCUUGAUUCCUGUGUCUGAACAAUGGAGGCAGCAAUGACACACAGG